RNAcentral lists this transfer RNA (69 nucleotides) under Marmota marmota marmota (Alpine marmot). It matches the Rfam family "tRNA". Rfam says of the family: Transfer RNA (tRNA) molecules are approximately 80 nucleotides in length. Their secondary structure includes four short double-helical elements and three loops (D, anti-codon, and T loops). Lineage: Eukaryota; Metazoa; Chordata; Mammalia; Rodentia; Sciuridae. The record is from Rfam by way of RNAcentral. RNAcentral also lists the same sequence under 3 other names.
GGGGUUGUAGCUCAGUGGUAGAGCACUCACCUAGCAUGUGUGAGACCCUAGGUUCGAUCCUCAGCACCA